Molecule: ribosomal RNA, 402 nt
Filed under: uncultured Ochrobactrum sp.
Lineage: Bacteria; Pseudomonadati; Pseudomonadota; Alphaproteobacteria; Hyphomicrobiales; Brucellaceae
Description: bacterial SSU rRNA
Rfam family: Bacterial small subunit ribosomal RNA
Source: RNAcentral
UGGGGAAUAUUGGACAAUGGGCGCAAGCCUGAUCCAGCCAUGCCGCGUGAGUGAUGAAGGCCCUAGGGUUGUAAAGCUCUUUCACCGGUGAAGAUAAUGACGGUAACCGGAGAAGAAGCCCCGGCUAACUUCGUGCCAGCAGCCGCGGUAAUACGAAGGGGGCUAGCGUUGUUCGGAUUUACUGGGCGUAAAGCGCACGUAGGCGGACUAAUAAGUCAGGGGUGAAAUCCCGGGGCUCAACCCCGGAACUGCCUUUGAUACUGUUAGUCUUGAGUAUGGAAGAGGUGAGUGGAAUUCCGAGUGUAGAGGUGAAAUUCGUAGAUAUUCGGAGGAACACCAGUGGCGAAGGCGGCUCACUGGUCCAUUACUGACGCUGAGGUGCGAAAGCGUGGGGAGCAAACA